Molecule: ribosomal RNA, 253 nt
Filed under: uncultured bacterium
Lineage: Bacteria
Description: partial 16S ribosomal RNA
Rfam family: Bacterial small subunit ribosomal RNA
Source: RNAcentral
UACGUAGGGUGCAAGCGUUAAUCGGAAUUACUGGGCGUAAAGCGUGCGCAGGCGGUUUUGUAAGCCAGAUGUGAAAUCCCCGGGCUUAACCUGGGAAUGGCAUUUGGGACUGCAAGGCUGGAGUGUGGCAGAGGAGACUGGAAUUCCCGGUGUAGCAGUGAAAUGCGUAGAUAUCGGGAGGAAUACCGAUGGCGAAGGCAGGUCUCUGGGCUGACACUGACGCUCAUGCACGAAAGCGUGGGGAGCAAACAGG